GCGUCGGUGGCUCAGGGGUUAAGCACUUGACUUGCAAUCAACAGGUCAUGGGUUCGAAUCCCGCCAUAUGCC
Molecule: non-coding RNA, 72 nt
Organism: Papilio machaon (common yellow swallowtail)
Lineage: Eukaryota; Metazoa; Arthropoda; Insecta; Lepidoptera; Papilionidae
Source: Rfam